This is a long non-coding RNA of Columba livia (rock pigeon), 2947 nucleotides long. RefSeq lists it as uncharacterized. The record is from RefSeq and is a predicted model, not a curated record. The transcript is spliced from 2 exons. NCBI's taxonomy places the organism in Eukaryota, Metazoa, Chordata, Aves, Columbiformes, Columbidae.
GGCUAUGGAAAAAAGAUAGAGAAAAUGUGUGAAAAGAAUUGCUGCGACAGGCCGAAGAGUGAAGUGGGUCCCCUUCCUGGAAUAAGCAAACAGUGCUGGGUUGACAAGCGUUCACAAGGGCUCCAGCACCCCGUCUAUAAAAUCCCUUCUGGGAGGAGAGGCAACAUAGGCUACUCAUGCUGGGAGCCAUAGCCCGGAGUGAGCUUUGCGGAAGAACUCUUGACCCCUGCUACAGGGCAAAACACGAGAGCCAAACCACCACCAUGCAGCGGUCUGAGCACCUUCCUGUAAGAGCAAGAACGUCCCAGCGGUUCGAGUGGGAAGAACGAGUCCCGCCGCGGGCGCCCCGCCACCAGACACCGCUCACGCGGUAACCCUGUUCUGCUGCUGCGGAUCCGGCCAUUUUUGUCAGAGACUAGUAAGAACUGAGCUGGGCCUGACCUUCCACAGCAGCAGACAACAGCCCAGACGUGGGUUUAUCCCGACAUGGCACCUCGCCCAGCAGCGAGUCCCCACGCUCGGCCUGGCACAGCGCGGCAGCAGCUGCCGGCGUGUCCCCGCCACACCGUGUCCCCACAACACGGGGUGUCCCCACAACGGGGUGUCCCUGCCACACCGUGUCCCCACCACACAGGGUGUCCCCACAACAUGGAGUGUCCCCGCCACACAAGGUGUCCCCGCCACACCGGAUGUCCCCGCCACACACCAUGUCAUGUCCCCGCCACACAAGGUGUCCCCGCCACACACCAUGUCAUGUCCCCACCACACACCAUGUCCCCGCCACACACCAUGUCGUGUCCCCGCCACACCGGCUGUCCCCACCACACGGGCUGGCGCUGCGCAGGGACCCGAGCGGCUCCAGCGUGUGCAGCUCCAGAGCCACACAUGCCUGAUCGCUAUCAGUUUGAUUGAACCAAGGCUGGGAAGCGCAAUCGCCAUUGCUUAUCCCUGGAAAUAUCGCUGGUUGUUCCAUCAUCCGUUUCCUCCACAAUUCUGCUUUGCAUUUUUUCACAAAGAUGUUCCAUUUUUUCAAUAGCUCUCUGAUCCCAAUCUCCUACUUAGUAGCUCAUAAUUUGAAAAUACUAUACUGAAGCAAAACUGAUCACGAAAAAAGGUAAAGAAAAAUACAGCGCUGAUACUGAAAAGAAAAAGAAAUAGCCUGGUAUUUCCCCCGCUCUUGCACUAUUCGGUGGUGCCGAUAACUCAGAAACAGCAGAGCGCUGUGAAUUAAUUCUGCUGAAUGAGAAGAGGGCAAGAGUGAUAAGAUCCAAUAAUAUAAACAAUAAUGUAUCAAAAGCGUGCCAUCUCCAAACGGCGCUGCAGCCCCAGCACCCAGGCACGUCCCGCGGCAGCGCACGCUCCCUCCCCUGCCAAGGAAAACGGCAUUUCACCAGCUUUCUGAGCUUUGUUUUAUUUGUGCCCGGAGUGUCCUCAGCACACUCGUUAGUUCAAGUCUUAGAAUGAGCUGAAAAUGAAUUACAGAUGGGCGCUGAGCACAACAGAAUGCUACUAUUUGUUGAAGACACUUUGUGUACAUGUCUCUCACCCAAAAUGCAAAACACAGCAAGGGCUGGCAAGAGACGGGCCCUCUGCACUGCUUCAGCCAAACACAGCACUAGAAAUACAUGCCCAGAAUUAGCUGCAUAUAUUAUUACGUGAUUUUUAGAAACCCAGUUGUGAAAGGGAAGAUGUCAAGUGCAGAAACAAAUCCACCAGCAGAGAGGAGAGGCCAGGUUUGCGGCACACACCGAAACACCCAACGGCCCGUCCCAAAGCUGCGUCCCACCCGCUGCCCCCAGCCCCUCGCUGCGCCGCGCCACGGGCUCCCGCUGCUGCCCAAAGGAGCGCUGGGGCCUGCGCACCGGCACCGCCAGCACCGCGCACCGGCACCGCCAGGAUCCAGGCACCGGCACCGCCAGGAUCCAGGCACCGGCACCGCCAGCACCCGCGCACCGGCACCGCCAGGAUCCAGGCACCAGCACCGCCAGCACCCACGCACCAGCACUGCCAGGAUCCAUGCACCGGCACUGCCAGCACCCGCGCACUGGCACUGCCAGCACCCGUGCACCGCCACCCCCACAGCGUCACCUCCCGCUCGAAACACGCUCUCUGGGUUCCCCAGUUGUGGUGUCCCCUGCCGUGGUGUCCCCCAGCCAUGGUGUCCCCCAGCCGUGGUGUCCCCCAGUCAUGGUGUCCCCCGUGCGGGCGGAGGGACGUUCCUUCUGCAGCCUUGUCUUGUUCACAAGGUCUCUUCUAAAGGUAUCGGCAAGAAUCAUUUGUUGCUGUUAUAAAUGGGUGGAUGUGACUAAAGAUUUCUCUACCCAACAUAUUUUUAAGAGUUGGUAUCAGAAUUUAAAGAACUGGGGGAAGCACAGGAGCCUGGGCAGAUUCACGCGGCAGUCCCGUGUGCACAGAGCGCUCACUAAACACACGGGGUUGUGCUCUACGCAGCUGCAGACACUAACACAUUACUGCUUCAUCAACACUUGCGGUUUACUUUGGCAAGGCCACAACAUCACAUUUCUCAAAGUCUUCUGUACCUUAAUAAAUCCAAGCACGUUUGGAACAGAGAAGGGAAGAGACGGGAUGCACAGGGCACAACUAGGAACAGCUUCCUGCCACGCCUGAUUAACGGAGCAAAACCAAAACGCAGCGUCUGUUGGAAGAGGUCCCAGCCAAGGUACAGGUUGUGUAAAUUGCCCUUAAGGAAAAGAGGGAAAAGGACACUUCCUUUGGGAACCGCUGCAGGUUUUUUCCAGGUUUAGUUUUUUUGAUGUUAUUGUUUGUUGGGGGUUUUUGUUUGUUUGUUUGGCCUUUUUUUUCCCCAACAAACAGUGUGACCAUGAGGGAGGGGAGGGGGGAGUCCCGCUGGUACCGCUGCCAGCACGACCGCGGUGCAGAGCCCGGCACGGCACGGGCCGCGCACCGACACGGGGCCACACACCAA